This 466-nucleotide ribosomal RNA is filed under the name uncultured bacterium. Its description in RNAcentral is "partial 16S ribosomal RNA". It matches the Rfam family "Bacterial small subunit ribosomal RNA", at positions 28 to 507 of the family's 1533-position model. The record is from RNAcentral.
GAUGAACGCUGGCGGCGUGCUUAACACAUGCAAGUCGAACGAUGAAGCCCAGCUUGCUGGGUGGAUUAGUGGCGAACGGGUGAGUAACACGUGAGUAACCUGCCCUUGACUCUGGGAUAAGCGCUGGAAACGGCGUCUAAUACUGGAUACGAGCUUCCACCGCAUGGUGAGUUGCUGGAAAGAAUUUCGGUCAAGGAUGGACUCGCGGCCUAUCAGGUAGUUGGUGAGGUAACGGCUCACCAAGCCGACGACGGGUAGCCGGCCUGAGAGGGUGACCGGCCACACUGGGACUGAGACACGGCCCAGACUCCUACGGGAGGCAGCAGUGGGGAAUAUUGCACAAUGGGCGCAAGCCUGAUGCAGCAACGCCGCGUGAGGGACGAAGGCCUUCGGGUCGUAAACCUCUUUUAGCAGGGAAGAAGCGAAAGUGACGGUACCUGCAGAAAAAGCACCGGCUAACUACGUG